GAUGAACGCUAGCGAUAGGCUUAACACAUGCAAGUCGAGGGGCAGCACAAGGUAGCUUGCUAUCUGGGUGGCGACCGGCGCACGGGUGCGUAACGCGUGUGCAACUUGCCCUAUACAGGAGGAUAACCCGUCGAAAGACGGACUAAUACUGCGUAUGCUCACAACUUGGCAUCAAGUGGUGAGGAAAGAAAUUCGGUAUAGGAUAGGCAUGCGUCCCAUUAGCUUGUUGGUGAGGUAACGGCUCACCAAGGCAACGAUGGGUAGGGGAACUGAGAGGUUUAUCCCCCACACUGGUACUGAGACACGGACCAGACUCCUACGGGAGGCAGCAGUGAGGAAUAUUGAUCAAUGGGCGCGAGCCUGAACCAGCCAAGUCGCGUGAAGGAUGACCGUCUUAUGGAUUGUAAACUUCUUUUAUACGGGAAUAACAAGAGUCACGUGUGACUCCCUGCAUGUACCGUAUGAAUAAGCAUCGGCUAACUCCGUG
RNAcentral lists this ribosomal RNA (487 nucleotides) under uncultured bacterium. RNAcentral's name for it is "partial 16S ribosomal RNA". It matches the Rfam family "Bacterial small subunit ribosomal RNA", at positions 28 to 507 of the family's 1533-position model. The record is from RNAcentral.